UCGAACGGCAGCACAGUAGAGCUUGCUCUAUGGGUGGCGAGUGGCGGACGGGUGAGUAAUGCAUCGGGAUCUACCCAAACGUGGGGGAUAACGUAGGGAAACUUACGCUAAUACCGCAUACGUCCUAUGGGAGAAAGCGGGGGAUCGCAAGACCUCGCGCGGUUGGACGAACCGAUGUGCGAUUAGCUAGUUGGUAGGGUAAUGGCCUACCAAGGCGACGAUCGCUAGCUGGUCUGAGAGGAUGAUCAGCCACACUGGAACUGAGACACGGUCCAGACUCCUACGGGAGGCAGCAGUGGGGAAUAUUGGACAAUGGGCGCAAGCCUGAUCCAGCAAUGCCGCGUGUGUGAAGAAGGCCUUCGGGUUGUAAAGCACUUUUAUCAGGAGCGAAAUGCCAUUGGUUAAUACCCGGUGGAGCUGACGGUACCUGAGGAAUAAGCACCGGCUAACUUCGUGCCAGCAGCCGCGGUAAUACGAAGGGUGCAAGCGUUAAUCGGAAUUACUGGGCGUAAAGCGUGCGUAGGCGGUGACUUAAGUCUGUUGUGAAAUCCCCGGGCUCAACCUGGGAAUGGCAAUGGAUACUGGGUCGCUAGAGUGUGAUAGAGGAUGGUGGAAUUCCCGGUGUAGCGGUGAAAAUGCGUAGAGAUCGGGAGGA
Molecule: ribosomal RNA, 655 nt
Filed under: uncultured bacterium
Lineage: Bacteria
Description: bacterial SSU rRNA
Rfam family: Bacterial small subunit ribosomal RNA
Source: RNAcentral